GGCUCAGGAUGAACGCUAGCGGCAGGCUUAAUACAUGCAAGUCGUGGGGCAGCACAGGUAGCAAUACUGGGUGGCGACCGGCAAACGGGUGCAGAACACGUACGCAACCUUCCCAAAACUGGUGAAUAGCCCUCCGAAAGGAGGAUUAAUACACCGUAACAUAAUGAAGUGGCAUCACUUUAUUAUUAUAGCUCCGGCGGUUUUGGAUGGGCGUGCGCCUGAUUAGGUAGUUGGCGGGGUAACGGCCCACCAAGCCUGCGAUCAGUAACUGGUGUGAGAGCACGACCAGUCACACGGGCACUGAGACACGGGCCCGACUCCUACGGGAGGCAGCAGUAAGGAAUAUUGGUCAAUGGACGCAAGUCUGAACCAGCCAUGCCGCGUGAAGGAUGAAGGUCCUCUGGAUUGUAAACUUCUUUUAUAGGGGACGAAAAAAGGGAAUUCUUUCUCACUUGACGGUACCCUAGGAAUAAGCACCGGCUAACUCCGUGCCAGCAGCCGCGGUAAUACGGAGGGUGCAAGCGUUAUCCGGAUUUACUGGGUUUAAAGGGUGCGUAGGUGGGUCUGUAAGUCAGUGGUGAAAUCUCCGGGCUUAACCCGGAAACUGCCAUUGAUACUAUAGGUCUUGAAUACUCUGGAGGUAAGCGGAAUAUGUCAUGUAGCGGUGAAAUGCUUAGAUAUGACAUAGAACACCAAUUGCGAAGGCAGCUUACUACGGGGUCAUUGACACUGAGGCACGAAAGCGUGGGGAUCAAACAGGAUUAGAUACCCUGGUAGUCCACGCCCUAAACGAUGGAUACUCGACAUCAGCGAUACACUGUUGGUGUCUGAGCGAAAGCAUUAAGUAUCCCACCUGGGA
RNAcentral lists this ribosomal RNA (859 nucleotides) under uncultured bacterium. Its description in RNAcentral is "bacterial SSU rRNA". It matches the Rfam family "Bacterial small subunit ribosomal RNA", at positions 21 to 878 of the family's 1533-position model. The record is from RNAcentral.